Molecule: unclassified non-coding RNA, 294 nt
Filed under: plant metagenome
Description: partial contains small subunit ribosomal RNA, internal transcribed spacer 1, and 5.8S ribosomal RNA
Rfam family: Eukaryotic small subunit ribosomal RNA (bases 1-54)
Source: RNAcentral
GGAAGUAAAAAUCGUAACAAGGUUUCCGUAGGUGAACCUGCGGAAGGAUCAUUAAUGAGUUGUCAUGGGGUUCGAUGCUGGCAGCCAGUUUUUGGAUGCAUGUGCUUGCCCUAACAAUCAUCUUCUUCCAAACACCUGUGCACAUUUUUGAGGGAGUCUUAAGUUGGUUGCCGCUCUUGGGUGAUUUUCUCACAUUCCCUUAAAUCAUUAUACGCUAUUAACAAUGUUGGACGUGCUCUGUGCCGCAAGGCCAUUAAUAUAUUACAACUUUUAACAACGGAUCUCUUGGCUCUC